GGGUGCUUAAGGCUUUCUGUCUUAAGCAAACGUGAGGGACAGAAAGAAGAAAGCCCCGGGCAAUAUUUCUAUUAACCCGAGGCUAUCCCUCAACUCCAGCAAGUUGAGAUUAGCCUCUUACUCUUCAGAAUGCAAGGAGUAAAAGGCAUGAAG
Cronobacter sakazakii ATCC BAA-894 is the source of this 153-nucleotide non-coding RNA. It matches the Rfam family "sok antitoxin (CssrC)". Rfam says of the family: Also identified in Shigella as CssrC. NCBI's taxonomy places the organism in Bacteria, Pseudomonadati, Pseudomonadota, Gammaproteobacteria, Enterobacterales, Enterobacteriaceae. The record is from Rfam.